GAAGAGCGCUCUACCGCCGAGCCACAAUCCCAGCCCCCCAAAAUAUAUAUUCUUAACAAAGUGCCAAAAAAAAAUGCCUGGUGAGGACCUUCUUGAGGCAUCCUCACCUGGUAGAAACAGAAAUGCAAAAAGAUAUGAACACUAUGUCCUUGCAUGGCAGAAGAAUGAACCCACUCCCUUAGUCUCUGACUAUAAGGUUCCUGCUCCCUCCUGAUCCAUGAGGGUUCUGCUCUCAUGACUUAAUUGCCUCUCAAUACUAUCACAUUGGUGAUUAAGUUCCAACAUAAAAAUAUUGGGGGACAUAAUCAGACCAUAGCAAAUAUUAUGAACACCUUUAUGCCAAUAAAUUUGACAACUUACAUGAAAUGGGCAAAUUUCCACUAACUUCCAAAGUUCACUCAAGAAGAAAUAGAUACUCUGAAUAGCUCUGUAUCUAUUAAAGAAAUCAAACUUAUAAUUAAGAUCUUUCCUACAAAGAAAAUUUCACUAGAGAAUUGUGCCAAACAUUUAAGGAAGAAAAAUGUGCAAAUUCUACACAAACUCUUCCAGGAAAUUGAAAAUGAGAAAACACUUCCUAAUUAUGAGGCCAACACUAAUGUCUUUUGUGAACGUGAACAUAGAUGCAAAAACUCUCAAUAAAAUUUUUGUAAGUCAAGUCCAACAAUAUAUAAAAAUAAUAAUACAUCAUAACCAAGUGAGGUCACAGGAAGACAAAGGUCAAGCUUUUCAAAAUCAAUUAACAUAAUCUAUAUUAAUGAACUGAAAAGGAAAAACAUAUGAUCCAUUUCUGUUUUAAAGAAAACUCUCAGUUCAGGCUUGGUGGCACAUGCCUGGGGCUGGGGAAGUUGGAGCAGGAGGAGUUCAAAAAGCAAGGCUCUAAGCAACUCAAUGAGACCCUGUCUUUAAAAUACAAAAAUAGGGCUGGGGAUGUGGCU
RNAcentral lists this long non-coding RNA (935 nucleotides) under Marmota monax (woodchuck). The record is from RNAcentral. Lineage: Eukaryota; Metazoa; Chordata; Mammalia; Rodentia; Sciuridae.